Molecule: ribosomal RNA, 377 nt
Filed under: uncultured Streptococcus sp.
Lineage: Bacteria; Bacillati; Bacillota; Bacilli; Lactobacillales; Streptococcaceae
Description: bacterial SSU rRNA
Rfam family: Bacterial small subunit ribosomal RNA
Source: RNAcentral
AGAUUAGAAAGUUACUUCGGUACAUCGGUGACAGGUGGUGCAUGGUUGUCGUCAGCUCGUGUCGUGAGAUGUUGGGUUAAGUCCCGCAACGAGCGCAACCCCUAUUGUUAGUUGCCAUCAUUCAGUUGGGCACUCUAGCGAGACUGCCGGUAAUAAACCGGAGGAAGGUGGGGAUGACGUCAAAUCAUCAUGCCCCUUAUGACCUGGGCUACACACGUGCUACAAUGGUUGGUACAACGAGUUGCGAGUCGGUGACGGCGAGCUAAUCUCUUAAAGCCAAUCUCAGUUCGGAUUGUAGGCUGCAACUCGCCUACAUGAAGUCGGAAUCGCUAGUAAUCGCGGAUCAGCACGCCGCGGUGAAUACGUUCCCGGGCCUU